GUGGUUGUAGCUCAGUGGUAGAGUGCUUGCCUUGCAUGCAUGAGGCCCUGGGUUUAAUCCUCAGCACCACA
Molecule: transfer RNA, 71 nt
Filed under: Marmota marmota marmota (Alpine marmot)
Lineage: Eukaryota; Metazoa; Chordata; Mammalia; Rodentia; Sciuridae
Also listed under: 1 other name
Rfam family: tRNA
About the family: Transfer RNA (tRNA) molecules are approximately 80 nucleotides in length. Their secondary structure includes four short double-helical elements and three loops (D, anti-codon, and T loops). Further hydrogen bonds mediate the characteristic L-shaped molecular structure. tRNAs have two regions of fundamental functional importance: the anti-codon, which is responsible for specific mRNA codon recognition, and the 3' end, to which the tRNAs corresponding amino acid is attached (by aminoacyl-tRNA synthetases). tRNAs cope with the degeneracy of the genetic code in two manners: having more than one tRNA (with a specific anti-codon) for a particular amino acid; and 'wobble' base-pairing, i.e. permitting non-standard base-pairing at the 3rd anti-codon position.
Source: Rfam by way of RNAcentral